UCCUGGCUCAGGAUGAACGCUGGUGGCGUGGAUAAGGCAUGCAAGUCGAGAGGGUUAGACCCUCGGCAAACGGGGUAGUAACAGGUAGGAACGUACCUUCAAGUUGGGCAUACACUGGAGAAAUUCAGAAUAAUUCCCAAGGAGUCGCUUCGGAGUAAAGAUUUAUCGCUUGAAGAUCGGCCUGCCUCGUAUCAGCUAGUUGGUAAGGUAAAGGCUUACCAAGGCAACGACGCGUAGGGGAGGUGAGAGCCUGACCCCCACCAUUGGCACUGCGACACGGGCCAAACACCUACGGGUGGCUGCAGUCGAGAAUCUUCCGCAAUGCAGGAAACUGUGACGGAGCGACGCCGCGUGGUGGACGAAGCACUUCGGUGUGUAAACACCUUUUAUAGGGGAGGAAGUUUAUUGACGUUACCCUAUGAAUAAGAGGCUCCUAAUUUCGUGCCAGCAGGAGCGGUAAUACGAAAGCCUCAAGCGUUAUCCGGAAUCACUGGGCGUAAAGCGUGCGUAGGCGGCUAUAUUAGUCGAAUGUUAAAGACCGAGGCUUAACUUCGGGACAGCAUUCGAAACGGUAUAGCUUGAGUGCGAGAGAGGUAUAUGGAACUCUCGGUGUAGGGGUGAAAUCCGUUGAUAUCGAGGGGAACACCAAAAGCGAAGGCAAUAUACUGGCUCGUCACUGACGCUGAGGCACGAAACCCUGGGUAGCGAAUGGGAUUAGAUACCCCAGUAGUCCAGGGCCUAAAUGAUGCAGACUAGCUUUUUGGAGUAUCGACCCUCUAAGAGGCGUAGCUAACGCGUUAAGUCUGCCGCCUGGGAAGUACGAGCGCAAGCUUAAAACUCAAAGGAAUAGACGGGGACUCGCACAAGCGGUGGAUCAUGUGGUUUAAUUCGACGAUAAGCGAAAAACCUCACCAAGACUAGACAUCCAGACGACGGUUUCCAGGGAUGGAUUCCUCCUUCGGGCGGCUGGACAGGUGAUGCAUGGCCGUCGUCAGCUCGUGGCUUGAGCUGUACUGUUAAGUCAGUUAACGAGCGAAACCCUCACCGUAUGUUAUAUGUGUCAUACGGGACUGCCUGUUUUUCAGGAGGAAGGUGAGGACGACGCCAGGUCAGCAUGUCCCUAGAUGUCUUGGGCUACACACGUGAUACAAUGGAGCGUACAACGGGUCGCGACGGGGUAACCCUGAGCCAAUCCUAUAAAACGUUCCCUAGUUCGGAUUGGGGUCUGCAACUCGACCCCAUGAAGUCGGAAUCGCUAGUAAUCGCGGAUCAGAAUGCCGCGGUGAUACGUUCUCGAGUCUUGUACUCACCGCCCGUCAAGUCAAGGGAGUCGGGAGCACCCGAAGUCUGCGCAUAGCGUGGCCGAAGGUAAGCUCGAUGACAGGGACUAAGUCGU
This 1396-nucleotide ribosomal RNA is filed under the name uncultured organism. RNAcentral's name for it is "bacterial SSU rRNA". It matches the Rfam family "Bacterial small subunit ribosomal RNA". The record is from RNAcentral.